RNAcentral lists this ribosomal RNA (710 nucleotides) under Streptomyces djakartensis. RNAcentral describes it as "bacterial SSU rRNA". It matches the Rfam family "Bacterial small subunit ribosomal RNA", at positions 82 to 805 of the family's 1533-position model. Lineage: Bacteria; Bacillati; Actinomycetota; Actinomycetes; Kitasatosporales; Streptomycetaceae. The record is from RNAcentral.
UCGGUGGGGAUUAGUGGCGAACGGGUGAGUAACACGUGGGCAAUCUGCCCUGCACUCUGGGACAAGCCCUGGAAACGGGGUCUAAUACCGGAUACUGACCCUCACGGGCAUCUGUGAGGUUCGAAAGCUCCGGCGGUGCAGGAUGAGCCCGCGGCCUAUCAGCUUGUUGGUGAGGUAAUGGCUCACCAAGGCGACGACGGGUAGCCGGCCUGAGAGGGCGACCGGCCACACUGGGACUGAGACACGGCCCAGACUCCUACGGGAGGCAGCAGUGGGGAAUAUUGCACAAUGGGCGAAAGCCUGAUGCAGCGACGCCGCGUGAGGGAUGACGGCCUUCGGGUUGUAAACCUCUUUCAGCAGGGAAGAAGCGAAAGUGACGGUACCUGCAGAAGAAGCGCCGGCUAACUACGUGCCAGCAGCCGCGGUAAUACGUAGGGCGCGAGCGUUGUCCGGAAUUAUUGGGCGUAAAGAGCUCGUAGGCGGCUUGUCACGUCGGUUGUGAAAGCCCGGGGCUUAACCCCGGGUCUGCAGUCGAUACGGGCAGGCUAGAGUUCGGUAGGGGAGAUCGGAAUUCCUGGUGUAGCGGUGAAAUGCGCAGAUAUCAGGAGGAACACCGGUGGCGAAGGCGGAUCUCUGGGCCGAUACUGACGCUGAGGAGCGAAAGCGUGGGGAGCGAACAGGAUUAGAUACCCUGGUAGUCCACGCCGUAA